GCCGGUGUGGCGGAAUGGCAGACGCGACCGACUCAAAAUCGGUUGUCUUCGGACGUGUGGGUUCGACUCCCACCACCGGUACCA
Molecule: transfer RNA, 84 nt
Filed under: Microbacterium sp. zg-YB36
Lineage: Bacteria; Bacillati; Actinomycetota; Actinomycetes; Micrococcales; Microbacteriaceae
Also listed under: 2 other names
Description: tRNA-Leu
Rfam family: tRNA
About the family: Transfer RNA (tRNA) molecules are approximately 80 nucleotides in length.
Source: RNAcentral